GCACCAGUAGUUCAAUGGUAGAUCGUAUGCCCUCCAAGCAUGAUGUUGCGGGUUCGAGUCCCGUCUGGUGCUCCA
This 75-nucleotide transfer RNA is filed under the name Flavonifractor sp. An82. RNAcentral's name for it is "tRNA-Gly". It matches the Rfam family "tRNA". Rfam says of the family: Transfer RNA (tRNA) molecules are approximately 80 nucleotides in length. Their secondary structure includes four short double-helical elements and three loops (D, anti-codon, and T loops). Further hydrogen bonds mediate the characteristic L-shaped molecular structure. tRNAs have two regions of fundamental functional importance: the anti-codon, which is responsible for specific mRNA codon recognition, and the 3' end, to which the tRNAs corresponding amino acid is attached (by aminoacyl-tRNA synthetases). tRNAs cope with the degeneracy of the genetic code in two manners: having more than one tRNA (with a specific anti-codon) for a particular amino acid; and 'wobble' base-pairing, i.e. permitting non-standard base-pairing at the 3rd anti-codon position. Lineage: Bacteria; Bacillati; Bacillota; Clostridia; Eubacteriales; Oscillospiraceae. The record is from RNAcentral.